This is a long non-coding RNA of Myodes glareolus (Bank vole), 1137 nucleotides long. RefSeq lists it as uncharacterized. NCBI's taxonomy places the organism in Eukaryota, Metazoa, Chordata, Mammalia, Rodentia, Cricetidae. The record is from RefSeq and is a predicted model, not a curated record.
CUGAAAACGCUGCUUCAACAGCCCUCCAUGUCUCUCUGUACUCAGGCCCACAGCUGCCUCCUGCUUCCCUGAUAAGGGUAAGCAAGGCGACUGGAGGCGAGUUUGGCUGGAAGGCCGAGCUGCAGCAUGCCCCAAACACUCACCAUCUCUUGAGGGCAUCUGCUCAGAUGAGAAGUCGCCCCCAUGAGGAACCAAGCCACCCCAGCUGAAGAACAGGUAAAGCACCGGCUGCACAAGAAAGUCCUAUGUGAAACGGACAUGGAAUCAAGCAUCUGUGAUCACAGUAACAUGGGAGAUGGGCACAGGAGCAUCCCUGGGAGCACACACAACAGUCAACAGGAGCCCUGUCUCACCAUGAAAGCUCUGUGAAGAGGGACCAGUGCUACCCCAUCAAACAGACAGGGAAACUGAGGCUUGGAACACUCCACUUCUGGAACACAAUGCUCGGGACGGGAAGAGAGUGGGAAGAGAGCGUCUCAGCCCAGGCUCUUGAUCUAGCCCUAACUCUGCCACUCCUGCCUGCAGCGUAGCACGCCACUAACAACAAAUACACUUCCAAAAGUUUCUUUGCUGGUUUAGCUUCCUACUUCCUGAUUUUUCUACCCAUGGGAAAAUUCAAACAAACCCAAAUGGUCAGAGAUAGUUGGGUUCGGAGAUCAUCAGACUUUGGGCACAAUUUAUAGAAACUUGCCCAGCACCACCGGAGGAGCUCAGUCACUGCAGGGACUAAUUCGGGACCGCCCUCUCUGCCUGCCUUUACUCCAUGAUGAGGGACGCACAUUCUACAAGCUUCAAGAACCAAACGAAAGGCAGAAAAAAAUCAAAGGGUGAAGGAAAAAAGUCAAAGGAUCCAAGUGUUGCUGCCAAGAGCUUCAGAAGUUCCCUAAGGAUUAUCACCACUUUCUUCUCGAUAUGAAAUCAGGAGAGCAGAGUAUACCAGUCCUAAUGAUGUCAUGGAGUUAACAAAUGAAGAAAUCAGGAAAUGGUUUCUUUUUUUCUUCAAGAAAUACUUUGGUUGAAUUUCCUUAACAGGUUUCAACUUCUGCAUUCAGAGAAAAUAGUUCUGUUUCAGAAAACCAACAAAAGAACAACAGCUACUGGGAGGGACGCUCUGGCUACAAACAAGCAUAAGCUUAA